GAUGAACGCUAGCGGCAGGCUUAACACAUGCAAGUCGAGGGGUAUUGGUUUUCGGACCAAGAGACCGGCGCACGGGUGCGUAACGCGUAUGCAAUCUACCUUUUGCAGAGGGAUAGCCCAGUGAAAUUUGGAUUAAUACCUCAUAGUAUAGUACUUUGGCAUCAAGGAACUAUUAAAAGUCACAACGGCAAAAGAUGAGCAUGCGUCCCAUUAGCUAGUUGGUAAGGUAACGGCUUACCAAGGCUACGAUGGGUAGGGGUCCUGAGAGGGAGAUCCCCCACACUGGUACUGAGAC
RNAcentral lists this ribosomal RNA (295 nucleotides) under uncultured bacterium. RNAcentral's name for it is "partial 16S ribosomal RNA". It matches the Rfam family "Bacterial small subunit ribosomal RNA", at positions 28 to 325 of the family's 1533-position model. The record is from RNAcentral.